GACGAACGCUGGCGGCGUGCUUAACACAUGCAAGUCGAACGGAAAGGCCCCUUUGGGGGUCCUCGAGUGGCGAACGGGUGAGUAACACGUGAGUAACCUGCCCUUGACUUCGGGAUAACUUCAGGAAACUGGGGCUAAUACCGGAUAGGAAUCCUUGCUGCAUGGUGGGGGUUGGAAAGCUUCGGCGGUUUUGGAUGGACUCGCGGCUUAUCAGCUUGUUGGUGGGGUAGUGGCUUACCAAGGCUUUGACGGGUAGCCGGCCUGAGAGGGCGACCGGCCACAUUGGGACUGAGAUACGGCCCAGACUCCUACGGGAGGCAGCGGUGGGGAAUAUUGCACAAUGGGCGGAAGCCUGAUGCAGCAACGCCGCGUGCGGGAUGACGGCCUUCGGGUUGUAAACCGCUUUCAGCAGGGGCGAAGCUUGUGGUGACGGUACCUGCAGAAGAAGCACCGGCUAACUACGUG
Molecule: ribosomal RNA, 465 nt
Filed under: uncultured bacterium
Lineage: Bacteria
Description: partial 16S ribosomal RNA
Rfam family: Bacterial small subunit ribosomal RNA
Source: RNAcentral